This 360-nucleotide small RNA is filed under the name Pongo abelii (Sumatran orangutan). Its description in RNAcentral is "processed transcript". Lineage: Eukaryota; Metazoa; Chordata; Mammalia; Primates; Hominidae. The record is from RNAcentral.
CCAAAACAGCCAGGACUGGAGAGUUCAAGAUUUAUGAGAGGAGAGAAACUCAGUAAGGCCCUAAAAAGCACCUUGGGAUUUCCUUUGAUACGGUUUGAAGACGCUGUGAUUAAUCUAGAUCCAUUCACUCGGGUACAUCCCUAUGAGACCAAGGAGUUCAUCAUCAAUGAUAUCCUCAAACAUUUCCAGGAGGAACUCCUCAGCCAGGCAGCUCGAAUCCUGGGAUCAGUGGAUUUUCUUGGCAAUCCUAUGGGGCUUUUGAAUGAUGUUUCUGAAGGGGUUACUGGACUGAUAAAAUAUGGAAAUGUCGGGGGCCUCAUCAGAAAUGUUACACACGGAGUAUCAAACUCUGCUGCCAAG